This 467-nucleotide small RNA is filed under the name Arabidopsis thaliana (thale cress). RNAcentral's name for it is "ATSL236120". Lineage: Eukaryota; Viridiplantae; Streptophyta; Magnoliopsida; Brassicales; Brassicaceae. The record is from RNAcentral.
UAGUUAAAUAUGAAAGGUCUUUAAUUUUAAGACAUCUUUUUCAAAAAUGUUUCCACAAAGACACUUAAGACACAGUGUCUAAAAUUUAAGGACACACAAACAUUAUAAUGUUAUAUACUUUUAUAUAUAUUAAUUUUAUUCGUGGGAAGACCCUCUCUAAUGAUGUGGGAUGGAGAUGACCUAAAUAUCUAUUAUUUUACCACGUAGAACGAUAAAUUUAAGGAGAGAAAGACGAAAUGCAAAAGCACUAACUUUAAUGUUUAGAAUAGGAUAAAUUACUGAAUAGUAUUAUUUUUUCGUAAGAAAAGCAAUUUAGCUAUAUAGCAUAGCGUUGAAGUAAAUAAUUAAUCAAAUGUCACAAUUUUCUCAAAAUGAAAAACCAAAAAGAAAUGGGCUAAAAUUAAAGAGGCAAAAGUAAUCAUAUUAAAAUGUCAUCCAAAAAUUACAUAAACAAACAAAAUCAUCCA